RNAcentral lists this ribosomal RNA (490 nucleotides) under uncultured bacterium. Its description in RNAcentral is "partial 16S ribosomal RNA". It matches the Rfam family "Bacterial small subunit ribosomal RNA", at positions 30 to 507 of the family's 1533-position model. The record is from RNAcentral.
AUUGAACGCUGGCGGCAGGCCUAACACAUGCAAGUCGAACGGUAACAGGAAGCAGCUUGCUGCUUUGCUGACGAGUGGCGGACGGGUGAGUAAUGUCUGGGAAACUGCCUGAUGGAGGGGGAUAACUACUGGAAACGGUAGCUAAUACCGCAUAACGUCGCAAGACCAAAGAGGGGGACCUUCGGGCCUCUUGCCAUCGGAUGUGCCCAGAUGGGAUUAGCUAGUAGGUGGGGUAACGGCUCACCUAGGCGACGAUCCCUAGCUGGUCUGAGAGGAUGACCAGCCACACUGGAACUGAGACACGGUCCAGACUCCUACGGGGGGCAGCAGUGGGGAAUAUUGCACAAUGGGCGCAAGCCUGAUGCAGCCAUGCCGCGUGUAUGAAGAAGGCCUUCGGGUUGUAAAGUACUUUCAGCGGGGAGGAAGGGAGUAAAGUUAAUACCUUUGCUCAUUGACGUUACCCGCAGAAGAAGCACCGGCUAACUCCGUG